RNAcentral lists this ribosomal RNA (460 nucleotides) under uncultured bacterium. RNAcentral describes it as "partial 16S ribosomal RNA". It matches the Rfam family "Bacterial small subunit ribosomal RNA", at positions 338 to 795 of the family's 1533-position model. The record is from RNAcentral.
CCUACGGGAGGCAGCAGUGAGGAAUAUUGGUCAAUGGGCGAGAGUCUGAACCAGCCAAGUCGCGUGAAGGAUGACGGCCCUAUGGGUUGUAAACUUCUUUUAUAAAGGAAUAAAACGAGGCACGUGUGCCUUUUUGCAUGUACUUUAUGAAUAAGGAUCGGCUAACUCCGUGCCAGCAGCCCCGGUAAUACGGAGGAUCCGAGCGUUAUCCGGAUUUAUUGGGUUUAAAGGGAGCGUAGAUGGGUUGUUAAGUCAGUUGUGAAAGUUUGCGGCUCAACCGUAAAAGUGCAAUUGAUACUGGUAGUCUUGAGUACAGUAGAGGUAGGCGGAAUUCGUGGUGUAGCGGUGAAAUGCUUAGAUAUCACGAAGAACACCGAUUGCGAAGGCAGCCUACUAAACUGUGACUGACACUGAUGCUCGAAAGUGUGGGUAUCAAACAGGAUUAGAUACCCGAGUAGUC